This 834-nucleotide ribosomal RNA is filed under the name Candida albicans. RNAcentral's name for it is "LSU rRNA". It matches the Rfam family "Eukaryotic large subunit ribosomal RNA", at positions 70 to 921 of the family's 3401-position model. The record is from RNAcentral. Lineage: Eukaryota; Fungi; Ascomycota; Pichiomycetes; Serinales; Debaryomycetaceae.
AGGGAUUGCCUCAGUAGCGGCGAGUGAAGCGGCAAAAGCUCAAAUUUGAAAUCUGCGCGUCUUUGGCGUCCGAGUUGUAAUUUGAAGAAGGUAUCUUUGGGCCCGGCUCUUGUCUAUGUUCCUUGGAACAGGACGUCACAGAGGGUGAGAAUCCCGUGCGAUGAGAUGACCCGGGUCUGUGUAAAGUUCCUUCGACGAGUCGAGUUGUUUGGGAAUGCAGCUCUAAGUGGGUGGUAAAUUCCAUCUAAAGCUAAAUAUUGGCGAGAGACCGAUAGCGAACAAGUACAGUGAUGGAAAGAUGAAAAGAACUUUGAAAAGAGAGUGAAAAAGUACGUGAAAUUGUUGAAAGGGAAGGGCUUGAGAUCAGACUUGGUAUUUUGCAUGUUGCUCUCUCGGGGGCGGCCGCUGCGGUUUACCGGGCCAGCAUCGGUUUGGAGCGGCAGGAUAAUGGCGGAGGAAUGUGGCACGGCUUCUGCUGUGUGUUAUAGCCUCUGACGAUACUGCCAGCCUAGACCGAGGACUGCGGUUUUUACCUAGGAUGUUGGCAUAAUGAUCUUAAGUCGCCCGUCUUGAAACACGGACCAAGGAGUCUAACGUCUAUGCGAGUGUUUGGGUGUAAAACCCGUACGCGUAAUGAAAGUGAACGAAGGUGGGGGCCCAUUAGGGUGCACCAUCGACCGAUCCUGAUGUGUUCGGAUGGAUUUGAGUAAGAGCAUAGCUGUUGGGACCCGAAAGAUGGUGAACUAUGCCUGAAUAGGGUGAAGCCAGAGGAAACUCUGGUGGAGGCUCGUAGCGGUUCUGACGUGCAAAUCGAUCGUCGAAUUUGGGUAUAGG